AUGAUGGAGGCGCACAUGGAGCGGGCGCUGCAGGAGGGGGUGACGGAGGCGGAGCGGGCGGCGCUGGAGGGGACGGUGCGGGCGCACCACACCUUCCCGGGGCGGGUGCCGGGGGCCACCUGCACGUCGCUGGUGGCGCAGCGCGUGGCGGCGCCGGUGCGCGCGGUGUGGCCCAUCGUGCGCAGCUUCGGCAACCCGCAGCGGUACAAGCACUUCGUGCGCACCUGCGCGCUCGCGGCCGGCGACGGGGCCAGCGUCGGCAGCGUCCGCGAGGUCACCGUCGUGUCCGGCCUCCCGGCGUCCACCAGCACCGAGCGCCUCGAGAUCCUGGACGACGACCGCCACAUCCUCAGCUUCAGCGUCGUCGGCGGGGAGCACCGCCUCCGCAACUACCGCUCCGUCACCUCCGUCACCGAGUUCCAGCCGGGCCCCUACUGCGUCGUCGUCGAGUCCUACGUCGUCGACGUGCCCGACGGCAACACCGAGGAGGACACCAGGAUGUUCACCGACACCGUCGUCAAGCUCAACCUCCAGAAGCUCGCCUCCGUCGCCGAGGAGACCGCGGCGGCGCCUGGCUCGCGGCGGCGCGACUAG
Molecule: ribosomal RNA, 594 nt
Filed under: Triticum aestivum (bread wheat)
Lineage: Eukaryota; Viridiplantae; Streptophyta; Magnoliopsida; Poales; Poaceae
Description: partial small subunit ribosomal RNA
Source: RNAcentral